RNAcentral lists this ribosomal RNA (699 nucleotides) under uncultured bacterium. RNAcentral's name for it is "bacterial SSU rRNA". It matches the Rfam family "Bacterial small subunit ribosomal RNA", at positions 28 to 730 of the family's 1533-position model. The record is from RNAcentral.
GAUGAACGCUAGCGGGAGGCUUAAUACAUGCAAGUCGAGCGGUAAGGUUUUCGGACCCUAGAGCGGCGAACGGGUGAGUAACGCGUACGAAACCUACCUUUAAGAGAGGAAUAGCCCUGGGAAACUGGGAGUAAUACCUCAUAGUAUUCAUUUACCGCAUGGUUUAUGGAUUAAAGCUACGGCGCUUAAAGAUGGUCGUGCGUCUGAUUAGCUAGUUGGUAGGGUAACGGCCUACCAAGGCUACGAUCAGUAGGGGGCGUGAGAGCGUGGNCCCCCACACGGGUACUGAGACACGGACCCGACUCCUACGGGAGGCAGCAGUAAGGAAUAUUGGGCAAUGGACGCAAGUCUGACCCAGCCAUCCCGCGUGCAGGACGAAUGCCCUAUGGGUUGUAAACUGCUUUUGUUUGGGAAGAAAUGUAUUCUUUUAAGAGUAUUUGACGGUACCAGACGAAUAAGCACCGGCUAACUCCGUGCCAGCNGCCGCGGUAAUACGGAGGGUGCAAGCGUUAUCCGGAAUCACUGGGUUUAAAAGGUGCGUAGGCGGCCAGAUAAGUCAGAGGUGAAAGUUUCCGGCUCAACCGGGAGAUUGCCUUUGAUACUGUUUGGCUUGAAUCAGAUUGAGGUUGGCGGAAUGUGACAUGUAGCGGUGAAAUGCAUAGAUAUGUCAUAGAACAUCGAUUGCGAAAGCAGCUGACA